RNAcentral lists this microRNA precursor (109 nucleotides) under Sorex araneus (European shrew). RNAcentral describes it as "microRNA 187 (ENSSARG00000016138.1)". The stretch from base 21 to 101 matches the Rfam family "mir-187 microRNA precursor family". Lineage: Eukaryota; Metazoa; Chordata; Mammalia; Eulipotyphla; Soricidae. The record is from RNAcentral.
GGCCGGGCUCACCAAGACUCCGUGUGUUACCUCGGGCUACAACACGGGACCCGGGCGCUACUCCGACCCCUCGUGUCUUGUGUUGCAGCCGGAGGGACACAGGUCCGCA